CCUACGGGUGGCAGCAGUGGGGAAUAUUGGGCAAUGGAGGAAACUCUGACCCAGCAACGCCGCGUGAAUGAUGAAGGUCUUCGGAUUGUAAAGUUCUUUUCUAAGGGAAGAAGAAAGUGACGGUACCUUAGGAAUAAGCCUCGGCUAACUACGUGCCAGCAGUCGCGGUAAUCCGUAGGAGGCGAGCGUUAUCCGGAAUGACUGGGCGUAAAGGGUGCGUAGGUGGUUGGGGAAGUUAGUAGCGUAACUCCCGGGGUCAACCUUGGAACUACUACUAAAACUGUUGGACUUGAGUGCAGGAGAGGCAACCGGAAUUCCUAGUGUAGCGGUGGAAUGCGUAGAUAUUAGGAAGAACACCAGUGGCGAAGGCAGGUUGCUAGACUGUAACUGACGCUGAUGCACGAAAGCGUGGGGAGCGAACAGGAUUAGAUACCCGAGUAGUC
This 443-nucleotide ribosomal RNA is filed under the name uncultured bacterium. Its description in RNAcentral is "partial 16S ribosomal RNA". It matches the Rfam family "Bacterial small subunit ribosomal RNA", at positions 338 to 795 of the family's 1533-position model. The record is from RNAcentral.